RNAcentral lists this ribosomal RNA (450 nucleotides) under uncultured bacterium. RNAcentral describes it as "partial 16S ribosomal RNA". It matches the Rfam family "Bacterial small subunit ribosomal RNA", at positions 354 to 796 of the family's 1533-position model. The record is from RNAcentral.
GUGGGGAAUAUUGGACAAUGGGUGCAAGCCUGAUCCAGCAAUGCCGCGUGCAGGAAGAAGGCCUUCGGGUUGUAAACUGCUUUUGUACGGAACGAAACGGUCCUGGUUAAUACCCGGGGCUAAUGACGGUACCGUAAGAAUAAGCACCGGCUAACUACGUGCCAGCAGCCGCGGUAAUACGUAGGGUGCAAGCGUUAAUCGGAAUUACUGGGCGUAAAGCGUGCGCAGGCGGUGCUGUAAGACAGGCGUGAAAUCCCCGGGCUUAACCUGGGAAUUGCGCUUGUGACUGCAGUGCUGGAGUGCGGCAGAGGGGGAUGGAAUUCCGCGUGUAGCAGUGAAAUGCGUAGAUAUGCGGAGGAACACCGAUGGCGAAGGCAAUCCCCUGGGCCUGCACUGACGCUCAUGCACGAAAGCGUGGGGAGCAAACAGGAUUAGAUACCCUGGUAGUCC